GACGAACGCUGGCGGCGUGCUUAACACAUGCAAGUCGAACGGAAAGGCCCUGCUUGCAGGGUACUCGAGUGGCGAACGGGUGAGUAACACGUGGGUGAUCUGCCCUGCACUUCGGGAUAAGCCUGGGAAACUGGGUCUAAUACCGGAUAGGAGCCACUUUCAGUGUGAUGAUUGGAAAGUUUUUUCGGUGUAGGAUGAGCUCGCGGCCUAUCAGCUUGUUGGUGGGGUAAUGGCCUACCAAGGCGGCGACGGGUAGCCGGCCUGAGAGGGUGGACGGCCACAUUGGGACUGAGAUACGGCCCAGACUCCUACGGGAGGCAGCAGUGGGGAAUAUUGCACAAUGGGCGCAAGCCUGUUGCAGCGACGCCGCGUGGGGGAUGACGGCCUUCGGGUUGUAAACUCCUUUCGCUAGGGACGAAGCUUUUGUGACGGUACCUAGAUAAGAAGCACCGGCUAACUACGUG
This 464-nucleotide ribosomal RNA is filed under the name uncultured bacterium. RNAcentral's name for it is "partial 16S ribosomal RNA". It matches the Rfam family "Bacterial small subunit ribosomal RNA", at positions 28 to 507 of the family's 1533-position model. The record is from RNAcentral.